GACGAACGCUGGCGGCGUGCCUAAUACAUGCAAGUAGAACGCUGAAGGAGGAGCUUGCUUCUCCGGAUGAGUUGCGAACGGGUGAGUAACGCGUAGGUAACCUGCCUGGUAGCGGGGGAUAACUAUUGGAAACGAUAGCUAAUACCGCAUAAGAGUAGAUGUCGCAUGACAUUUGCUUAAAAGGUGCAACUGCACCACUACCAGAUGGACCUGCGUUGUAUUAGCUAGUUGGUGAGGUAACGGCUCACCAAGGCAACGAUACAUAGCCGACCUGAGAGGGGGAUCGGCCACACUGGGACUGAGACACGGCCCAGACGCCUACGGGAGGCAGCAGUAGGGAAUCUUCGGCAAUGGACGGAAGUCUGACCGGGCAACGCCGCGUGAGUGAAGAAGGGUUUCGGAUCGUAAAGCUCUGUUGUAAGAGAAGAACGAGUGUGAGAGUGGAAAGUUCACACUGUGACGGUAUCUUACCAGAAAGGGACGGCUAACUACGUG
This 495-nucleotide ribosomal RNA is filed under the name uncultured bacterium. RNAcentral's name for it is "partial 16S ribosomal RNA". It matches the Rfam family "Bacterial small subunit ribosomal RNA", at positions 28 to 507 of the family's 1533-position model. The record is from RNAcentral.